This 1076-nucleotide ribosomal RNA is filed under the name Cellulophaga sp. RHA_5. RNAcentral describes it as "bacterial SSU rRNA". It matches the Rfam family "Bacterial small subunit ribosomal RNA", at positions 170 to 1252 of the family's 1533-position model. The record is from RNAcentral. Lineage: Bacteria; Pseudomonadati; Bacteroidota; Flavobacteriia; Flavobacteriales; Flavobacteriaceae.
CUUAUAGUUUAUUUUUAUGGCAUCAUUUAAAUAAUAAAGUUUACGGUGUAAGAUGAGUAUGCGUCCCAUUAGUUUGUUGGUAAGGUAACGGCUUACCAAGACUACGAUGGGUAGGGGCCCUGAGAGGGGGAUCCCCCACACUGGUACUGAGACACGGACCAGACUCCUACGGGAGGCAGCAGUGAGGAAUAUUGGACAAUGGAGGAGACUCUGAUCCAGCCAUGCCGCGUGCAGGAAGACGGUCCUAUGGAUUGUAAACUGCUUUUAUACAGGAAGAAUAAGGACUACGUGUAGUCUGGUGACGGUACUGUAAGAAUAAGGACCGGCUAACUCCGUGCCAGCAGCCGCGGUAAUACGGAGGGUCCGAGCGUUAUCCGGAAUUAUUGGGUUUAAAGGGUCCGUAGGCGGGCUGUUAAGUCAGGGGUGAAAGUUUGCAGCUCAACUGUAGAAUUGCCUUUGAUACUGAUGGUCUUGAAUUAUUGUGAAGUGGUUAGAAUAUGUAGUGUAGCGGUGAAAUGCAUAGAUAUUACAUAGAAUACCGAUUGCGAAGGCAGAUCACUAACAAUUGAUUGACGCUGAUGGACGAAAGCGUGGGUAGCGAACAGGAUUAGAUACCCUGGUAGUCCACGCCGUAAACGAUGGAUACUAGCUGUUUGGAUUUCGAUCUGAGCGGCCAAGCGAAAGUGAUAAGUAUCCCACCUGGGGAGUACGUUCGCAAGAAUGAAACUCAAAGGAAUUGACGGGGGCCCGCACAAGCGGUGGAGCAUGUGGUUUAAUUCGAUGAUACGCGAGGAACCUUACCAGGGCUUAAAUGUAGAUUGACAGGUUUAGAGAUAGACUUUCCUUCGGGCAAUUUACAAGGUGCUGCAUGGUUGUCGUCAGCUCGUGCCGUGAGGUGUCAGGUUAAGUCCUAUAACGAGCGCAACCCCUGUUGUUAGUUACCAGCACAUUAUGGUGGGGACUCUAGCAAGACUGCCGGUGCAAACCGUGAGGAAGGUGGGGAUGACGUCAAAUCAUCACGGCCCUUACGUCCUGGGCCACACACGUGCUACAAUGGUAGGUACAGAGAGCAGCCA